This 739-nucleotide long non-coding RNA is filed under the name Cricetulus griseus (Chinese hamster). RNAcentral describes it as "lncRNA (ENSCGRG00000024296.1)". The record is from RNAcentral. Lineage: Eukaryota; Metazoa; Chordata; Mammalia; Rodentia; Cricetidae.
CCCCACCCUCGAGCCGGCGCCCCGCCCUGGCCUCUGCUCAUUGGCCUGGAUCCCCACAGAGCCGCCCUCAUUGGCCGUCCUUCACCUCAAGGGGGCGGGGCCCAAAGUCGCCGGAGUUUUGCUCGGGACGGGACGUCCGACAGAGGAGAGGCUGACGUCGGGGUGACGCUCCGAGUUAAUCGCAUCUGACGUCACGUCUCGUCUUAGCUCGCCUGCGGCGAUUGGCUGAGCGGCUUUGGGGAUCCCCUGCUAAUUGGGCGUCAAGGUUACAAGGUCUGGUUGUCUCAGUCGGAGCCCCGCCCCUGAAGGGUAAUAGAGGACUGAAGGCAGUAACAGAGUACCUGCCACUGUGGUCCGUGGUGAAGAUCCCCAUCCGGUAAAGGCAGGACAUGUGACCAAGAUGUCCAUGACCAGAAAUUACCCACUGGGGAAGUGCUGAAGAAUGGCCUACUAGGAAGAGGUGGACACACGUUGUUCAAGAGGAGGUUGUCCCAGGUCAAUGGAGUCUCUUCUUCAGAAGGCCUAUCUUCUGUCCGUCUUUCUAUCAUACCUCAUAUUUACCUAAGAGAGGCUACCAAUAGACCAAAGAAAUGUUUCUGCCCAAGUCCAGAUUGGUGUUUAUGUUUGCCUAUGGAAUUUCUCUGUACAGUCACUGGCAUGGAGGAAGGAAGAUAAGCCAGAAGUCACACUGAGAUCAUGACUGCCAGCUUGCUCUUUUUCCCAGAUGCUAAAUCACUGC